UACGUAGGGGGCUAGCGUUGUCCGGAAUCAUUGGGCGUAAAGAGCGUGUAGGCGGCCAGGUAGGUCUGCUGUGAAAACUCGAGGCUCAACCUCGAGCUGUCGGCGGAAACCAUCUGGCUAGAGUCCGGAAGAGGAGAGUGGAAUUCCUGGUGUAGCGGUGAAAUGCGCAGAUAUCAGGAAGAACACCUAUGGCGAAGGCAGCUCUCUGGGACGGUACUGACGCUGAGACGCGAAAGCGUGGGGAGCGAACAGG
Molecule: ribosomal RNA, 253 nt
Filed under: uncultured bacterium
Lineage: Bacteria
Description: partial 16S ribosomal RNA
Rfam family: Bacterial small subunit ribosomal RNA
Source: RNAcentral